Molecule: ribosomal RNA, 109 nt
Filed under: Spirochaetales bacterium
Lineage: Bacteria; Pseudomonadati; Spirochaetota; Spirochaetia; Spirochaetales
Source: RNAcentral
GUCAGUGAUGAUAGCACUUGUGCCACACCCGUUCCCAUACCGAACACGGAAGUUAAGACAAGAUGCGCCGAUGGUACUGCGUAAGUGGGAGAGUAGGUUAUUGCUGGCU